UUUUUUUUUUUUUUGGACAUAACAAAAGCAAAAAUAACAAAACAAAAGUAAGCAAGCAGAAUUACAGCAAACUAAAAAUCUGCAGAGCAAAGGAAAUCAUCAAAUUGAAAAGGCAACCUAUGGGAUGUGAGAAAAUAUUUGCAAACCACAUAUCCAAUAAGAGAUUAAUAUCCAAGAUAUACAUGAACUUUACACAACUCAAUACCCAAAGAAAGAAAUAACCCAAUUAAAAAUUGGCAGAGGACCUAAAUAGACAUUUUUCCAAAAGAAGAUAGAAAUAGCCAGCAAGUGUAUGUAAAUGAGCUCAGCAUCUCUAUUCCCCAGGGAAAUGCAAAUAAAAACUAUAAUGGGAUAUCACCUCACACAAUUAGGAUGUCUUUUGUCAAAAAGGUGAGAGAGGAGUUUCUGCUGUGGUGCAACAAGAUCAACGGUGUCUCUACAGCACCAAGUUGUAGGUUCAAUCCCUGGUCUAGCACAAUGGGUUAAAGGAUCCAGAACUGCAGGAACUCCGUGUGCCAUGGGGCCACCAAUUAAAAAAAAAAAAAAAGUAAGAGAUAACUAGUUGUGAUGAGGAUGUGGAGAAAGGGAACCCUUGUGUAGUGCUGGUGGGAAUGUAAACUGAACGGCCACUAUAGAAAACAGUAUGGUGGUUCCUCAAGAAAUUAAAAAUAGAACUACAAUAAUUUGACUUAUAGGUAUCUAUCCAAAGGAAAUGAAAUCAUCUUGAAGAGAUAUCUACCUUCCUGUUCAUAACAACAUUACUCACAAUAGCCAAGAUAUGGAAACAACCUCAGUGUCCAUCAGUGGCUGAAUGGAUAAAGAAACAUGUGGAAUGUAACCUUAUUCAGGCUUAAGAAAGAGGGAAAUUUUUUAUUUGGGACAACAUGGAUGAACCUGGAGAGCACUGUGCUAAAUAAAAUAACCUAGAAAAAAAAUACCACACGGUAUCAUUUAUGUGUGAAAUCCUAUUUACAAAAAGGGAAACUUAUAGAAAUAGUGAGUGGGGCAUUGGGGGAAACAGAAAGAGACUGGCUGGUAAAAGAGUACAAACUUUAAUUUAUAAGAUCAAUAAAUUCUGAGAACCUAGUCUAUAACAUGGAGACUAUAGUUGAUAGCACUCUAUUGGAUAAUGGAAAUGGACUAAGAUAAAAGAACUUCAAUAUUCUCACCAAAAAAAAAAAAAGACAAAUAUGUGAAGGGAUGGAUAUGUUCAUUGGCAUUAACUCCAUGGGGGUAAUAACUAUUUUGCAGUGUAUAGGUAUAUAAAGUCAUCACUUGGUACACUUUGAAUGUAUUAUAAUUUUAUUUGUUAAUUAUACCUCAAUAAAGCUGGAAAAUAAAUAAAUAAAAUAAAAUCUGACCUCAGCAUAUUGUGAGGACAUAAUGUCUUCUUCAUUAUUGAAAUUCAUGCUUUCUACAUUUUGACAAAAAUAAAAUCUUCAGCAUUUUUUAAACAUGUCUCUUGUCACCUCCCUGCCUCACCUAAGUAUAUAACAGUGUUUCAGAGGGAUGAGGUCAUUUCUUCCUUAUCUUUAUAUCCCUUACUUGGUAUUAUGCCAUGCUCAAGAAGCACUCAAGAAAUAUUUGUUGCAAGGAAUGGAUUUUCCUAAUCAGAUUAUAGUGCUUUGAAAAGAGAGUCUUUUGUACAAGAAAAAAAAAAUUAAACACUUAGUAGGAGCUUAAUAAAUAUUCAUUGAUUGAUUAGACUUGGCUACCCUGGUUUCAUUAUUCAGGCAAAUACAGAAAAUAAACUGCCAUCUCAGGCAGGCUUCUCCUCCCAGAAAUGAGUGAAGAUGAAUUAUCCCAUUGAGUUAUAUAAGAUGAGUAUCUGGCCUGGCAUCCAUAGAGAAAAGUAAAUUAGAUUUUUAAAAUAGUUUCAGGGUUAACAAUGUAAGAUGUUAUUAGUAACACAAGUAAGGAAUCAUUAUUAAUGGAGUCUACGACCUUUAUCUUGAUGGACUGGAAUAAGAGAUUUAUACAUCAGAAUGGGAUGAAUUGUUCAUAUUCAUCAAGGAUUUGGAAACAAAGGGCAGGAACUCAAAUUGGGAACAUUCAGAUUUGUCUAAGGACCAACUGGGAGAAUGCACUGCAAUUUCCCGGGGCUUGUACAAGGUUUUAGAAACUGAAUCAGCCCAAAGGGAGAAGGGCUUUAGAUCAAGAAAGCUACUCUUUACACAUAAAUAUGUAAGUAAUAACUAGCAAUAAUUUAAAAGGAAAUAAAGGAAAUCCAAAAACCACAUAUGUCAGUUUAAUGAGAUUUGGGGAAAAAAUGAUAUUCUUUCAAAGUUUGCUUUAAUACGGCAGGGUCUCUUUAACACAUUCUCAUUGGAUUUAAUAGAGGUUAAAGAGAUUUAACCAAUCUUAGUCCAGAUUUAUUAAAUAUUAUGCAGAUUUUAUAAACUCACUAGAGAUUUCAAUAUAAGUAAUUGUGAAGUUAGUAAAUCUUCCUUUAUGCUUGUUAGUACUCUCUGCAGUUUAAAAGAUAGUGGGUGUAACCAACACUAAGAUUUAAUAUUUAGAGUAUUAUUGCAAAAAACAAAUGAUUCAGAUUUAUUCAGUAUGCUUAAGACUUAACAAAUAUUGUCUAAACUCAGGAAAAUAAAUAUGGAACGAAAAUAGCCCUAAUUGCUUGCUGUGAGGCAAGUGUUCAAUUUACCAAUUUUUUAAAAUGUAUUUAAUAAAUAGAUUACUAAAUCAAGUGCAAUGCUCAUUAAAGACUGUAUCAAUUUAAGGGAUUCAUCUCAGCUAUGAUUUAUUCAAUCUAAUGCCCCAUUGAUUAAAUGUUCUUCAGAUCUUAAAAAGUCCACUUCACGUUUAAUAGGUAUCAGGUCAAUUUAGAAAAGCAUUUAGCACACAUGAAAGCCAAUGAGAGAGGAAGCGAUUUGUACACUCUGUGCUGGAGGGCGCCAUAAGAGGGAGUGACGUUGGGAAACAGUGUACUUAAAAUGCCACUUAAAAGUAUUUCAGAGGGAAAAUACUGCAAUUCGGUAAGCUCCUCCAGUGCCUCUAAGUGGGACAGAUGGGAGAAAAUGAUAUAACGUGGGGAGAGGGUGGUGGAAGAGAGAAAUUCUCCAGAGCAGACCUAGGAAUGGGAUCUGAAAUACCUGCCUAAUGGCCAAAGGGCCUUCACCUGGAAGCCACGGGAAUGAAGGCCCCAACUACUCCUCAUGGUUUGCAGUGAUACAGUUCACCCUUCUAAGUAUUAUGUCUCCCCAGGCCAUCUAUACAGAAUCAUGGCUCAGUAAUUUGGAGUACACUUUUCUUUGGCAAAUUCCACAAUGAUAUAAUAUCAUUAUUCUAAGUUUUGAUUUCUUCCUGUUUUCAAUACUUUGGAUGUGACUUGAUAGAUAUAGAAUAGAUUUAUAAGUCAGACUUCCUUCUGAAACUAUGUCUUGGGUAAUGCAUCCAAAUUGUGACUCUGGGUUAAUGAAUAAAUGAUAGCAUAACACUUCCUACUGAAUGAUUAAGUCAAAAGUCCCUGGAUAUUAGUGUAGGUAAGUUGAAGAGCUCAGACAUAAAUAUUUCCUUUCCCAUUUUAAUACUAAAAGAAUAACAGCCUAACUACAUUUUAUUGAGUAGCCUCUAUGUACUGAACAUCCUUUCUUUUCUAUAUUAUAAAUAUCCUGAAAGUAGUUCUAAACAUCUGUACAUUACACAAUAAUAAAUUGAGAUUUAACAGUUAAAUAACUUGUCCCAAUUCAAAUAGCAAGUGAGUGGCAGAAAUGAGACUGGAAAUCAAAAUUAUAUCACUGUAAAGUCUAUGAUAUGUCACUGCUUCUGUGGAAUAUCCAGAAGAAAUUUGAUUAAAACUGUGACUUAAGGUGUUCCCAUUGCUGUGCAGUGGAAACAAAUCCGAAUAGUAUCCAUGAAGAUGUGGCUUCAGUCCCUGGCCUCGCUCAGUGGGUUGAGGAUCCUGCAUCGCCAUGAGCUCUAGUGUAAGUUGGAGACAUGGCUUGGAUCCCUCAUCACUGUGGCUGUGGCAUAGGCAGCAGCUGUAGCUCCAAUUUGACCCCUAGUCUGGAAACUUCCAUAUGUUGCAGGUAUAAUCCUAAAAAGCAAAAACUGAACAAAAUUAAAAAUAUGACUUAAAUGGCUAGCUUUUUUUUUUUUCUAUCACAGUACUAAGUAUUAUGGAUUCAGAAAUAAAAGGACAAGCCUGUCUUCAAUCACUGUCUUAUUGUGGAGACAGUCAGACAGAGAAAAUCUGCAUGCAGUAAGACAAGGUUUUUGAAAGGGUAAUUCAUGGUGCUAUAUGACAUCCCCAAAGAGGCAUUUAGCCACACCACAUGGGAAAAAUCAAGGAAGGUGUCUAAGAUUAUUAGGCUAUGUUUGGAUAGUCCAACAAAAAAGAAGGAAAGUUGUGGCAGAAGAAACUAUACAUGCGAAGGCAGGGUGAUAUGAUCCAUAAUAUCUGAAGUAUUCAUGAAGUCAAUCACAAGCACUGAAAAUGCAUAGAACACUGGCAGGUGGGCAAUAUCCUUUCCCAGUGCUUAAGAGGAGCUAUUCUGGUGCCAAAUCAAACAAAUGGUGUCAGAACAAAUGGUGUUAUUUUUUUCAACAAAUGGUGUUAGAACAAUAGAUGUCCAAAUAAACAAUAUAAUUCUUGACCUCAGACUCACUCUUGACACAAAUAUUUGAGAUGGUAUACAGACCUAAACAUAAAAGUUAAAACCUAAAACUUCUGAAGCAAAUAUAAGGAAAUACCUUUACAAAUUUGGGUAAUGCAAACAUUUCCUAAGCAGAACACAAAAUCACUAAUCAUAAAAGAAAAAUAUGAUUGAUGGGAUUUCAUCAAAAUGAAAAAUAUACAAAAACACCAUUAAGAAAACAAGCUGACAAGUCACAGACAAGGAGAAAGUUUGAAAUACGUAAUAUUGAACAAGGAAAUUGUAUCCAGAAUAUAUAAAGAAUUUCUACAGAUCAAUAACAAAAAUGCAAACAAUUCAGCUUUUAAAAUGAGCAAAAGUCUUAAACAGUUCCUAAAGAAAAUGUAUGAAUGGACAAUAAUUUUAUGAUAAGGCACUCAAUUAGCCUUCAGGAAAAUGCCAAUUAAAAUAAAAUUUUAAAAAAAUUUAGCAUAGUCUGGAAUUGUUCCUGUUUAAAAAAAAAAAACUUAUAAUGUCAAAUGUUGUAAAAGAAAUGAGGUAAACCAGCACUAUAUGUAGAAAUCACUUUGAAAAAACUCUUCGGUAAUUUUUUUUUUAUUGUGUAAAGAAUAUGGACAGGCUGUACCUCAGCAGUUCCAAUCCUAUACAUGUGCCCCAAAGAAAUGAGAACAUGUAUCUACCCAUGCAAAGUUUAUGCAAGAAACUUUAAAGCAGCCUUACUGAUUAUAGCCUCAAAAUGAGUAUCGCCAUUAAUAUACAAAGUGGCAUGUUACUGCAAUAGAACAUUCCUCGGCAACUAUUGAUACAUACAGUGCUCUGGACAAAUUUCAAAAAAAGCCUAUGUAUAUACAAAAUAAAUUAGACACUAAUGAAUAUUUACCAUCAGAAAGCCAUUGCCUCAUUGGAGUUUAGGAUGGAGAUUGACUGGAAAUGGUCACGAAGAGAAUUUCUGAGAAGAUGGAAAUGUUCUUCAGCUUGGUUUGGAUAGCAGUCACACAGAUAUACAGUCAGAACUCAUCAAGCUUAAUAUAUAUUUUUUGAAAAUUAUAGCUUAAUUUAAAAAAGUGGUCUUCAAAAGGCAGAAUAAGAUCCCUCCUUAGAUCGUCCCACUGGGUCACAGUGAACAAUACUGGAGCAGGAAGAGGGAGACAGAUUUCAAAUCCUUCAUCCUGAAGGAGAAGCACACUGAUAGGUUUUCCAGAUAGAAGGUACAACAUGUCCUAUAUCUUGCUCAAUAUUUUAAUCCACUGGAUGGAGAAGAAAGCCAUGGUGUUUUGCACUUCUGAAACAACACUUAGAAGUUGGAGAUCAAAAUAACUCAAUGUGAAGAAAUCAGAUGAGGUUUUAGAAGCCUUAGGCAUUAGAAUCCCUCAGCAACGGUGUGUUGUGAUGUCAGUCAAGUCUGUAGAGCAUUAUGGAGUUUAGUUCUCCAUUGUGGCUGGGCAUGUACAUUGGUGGUGGUGGAUGUUGUCAUAUCUAGUGAUGGACAGAUAUUUUGUGACAGUAAUAUAAUAAGAGAUGGGAGUAC
This 6135-nucleotide long non-coding RNA is filed under the name Sus scrofa (pig). Its description in RNAcentral is "lncRNA (ENSSSCG00025030043.1)". The record is from RNAcentral. Lineage: Eukaryota; Metazoa; Chordata; Mammalia; Artiodactyla; Suidae.